GGAGAUGUGGCUCAGGGUUACAGUAUUUGCCUAGCAUGCAAAAGGCCAUAUGUUCAAUAUCAAUUCCA
RNAcentral lists this transfer RNA (68 nucleotides) under Rattus norvegicus (Norway rat). It matches the Rfam family "tRNA". From Rfam's summary of the family: Transfer RNA (tRNA) molecules are approximately 80 nucleotides in length. The record is from Rfam by way of RNAcentral. Lineage: Eukaryota; Metazoa; Chordata; Mammalia; Rodentia; Muridae.